Long non-coding RNA from Serinus canaria (Common canary), 14182 nucleotides. RefSeq lists it as uncharacterized. The transcript is spliced from 2 exons. The record is from RefSeq and is a predicted model, not a curated record. NCBI's taxonomy places the organism in Eukaryota, Metazoa, Chordata, Aves, Passeriformes, Fringillidae.
UUCAAUAAGUUUCAGGACCAGUCUUAAUUAUGAACAGAACCCAAGAGUUCAAUACAUUUGAAUUCAGGAAAAAUAAAACACAUCACAGUGCAGGAUGGGAGCAAAAGGCAGUGAGCUGGUCUUACUGCACUGGGCAGGGGAGACCUUUGGGUUCCAGGAGCCUUCUUCCCAGCUUACAGUGGCAGCAAGGGUGCAGCUAUGGCUGAUACAUUGAUAUGUACAGUUCACAAGUAGGACCUGGAUUUCCUGUGUGAGUCAAAAUGUAAAGCUUAUAGUAUAAACUAUGUAUGGUUCUGAAUAAUCUGUCUCUAAAUAAAGGACUAUUGCUAUAAAACAUAGUAAAUAAGUGUUGGAAAAAAAAUUAGAGGUUUAAGAAUGAACUGUAUCUUAACUUACUAUGGUUCAGCAAGUGCUCAGUGUUUGGUUUUUUUUACUUCAAUAACAAAAGCUUCUUAAUUGAGCUUUUGCUUCUUUUGCCUUCCAUUUGAUUGUAUCUCAUUACAUAAAUAGCUUGUUAAGUUGGAGUAGUUAUAUAUAUAGAGAGAGAGACUUAAAGGUAACUAUCCCAGUCUUUCGGCAUUGCCAAGAAAUCAAAUUUUUCCAAACUGAUUGUGUUGAGCCACAAAUUACUUACAUUAAAUGCAGCCAAAACAAGACAGACAUAAUGAAAUUUAUCCCCAGCAACCACAUUGUUGGGUAUUUUUGUGCAUAUAAAGAAGGGAGGAAGUACAUGUUUACUACGGAGAUGAUCAGGGUUAAACCAUGUACUGCCGUUUGAUGCAUACACAUUCACACAUUCACACACACACACACACACACACACACACUGCAGAGGUAUGUAUAUGCAUCACUAAUUAUUCAAGAUUUGUCCCAGAAUACCUCACAAGACCCCGAUUUUAAGCAGUUUAGACAAUUCAGUGCCGGAGAGAAUAAAAAAGCCCUUUGUCUCUGAUCUCUUUUGACUUUGGACUAGUUAAUGAUUUUUUCCUAAGAUCUGUAAGAAAAUCUAGACCACCAGAGAUACUGUAAUUAUAGCUUAUAUCUGAAGUCUUCAGACCUUCUAAGUUAGGAUUUGAUCAGCUGCUUGGCCAGCUCAGCAACUCGCAAUAAAUUGAUUUCUUUGCUACUUCUUCUAUUUGAAAUACAAGAAAACAUACUGAGCAAAUGACAAUACUUUUUAUAAGCAAGAUCCAUUCAGCAUGCAGACCUUUAGAAGCUGGAAAUGUGACUUUGAAGAAAAUUUUAUUAUUAUGAUAUAUGGUUUCUGAGGAGUUUUCUAGACUUGCACAGCAAGAUUACAUUAAUUACAUGAAUUACAUUCACACAUGCUUUCAAAUGCAGUGAACCAUUCAUUCCUGCCAUGUUAGAAGUGUCAGUGAAUUUUUAAAAAUAAAUGUCUUCCCAACACUGUGAACAAACCUUGUCCUAGUCAUGCAUAUUUACAAGCCCAGCAAGAGGAAAAGGUUCCUGGACAUGUGGAAAAAUUUACAAUUAACAAUAAAGCCUCUUUCAUUUACUUGGUAAAGGUAAUGUAAGAAUAAAAACAGAGUAAGAAACUUGGUGAAAUCUUUCUGCUUCUCUUUAAUAUACAUCACCACUUCUGCCUUCAUAAGCUGUAUUAUAUUAGAAGCCAUGCAGAUUUUAAUUAGCAGAGCCUGACUGCAGAGCCUGGCUGGUCAGGAAGACAGAGGGGAACUGGGGAAACAAAAUUUUUUGUUUGUGGCCCUGGUCAUAGAGUAAUCUCCACAGUUUCUGUGCGUCCCUUCCCAGAAGCGACAGCAGUUACUUAAAACAUUAUCACAUACAGUAGGCUGUAAAUCAUGAAAUGGGAACUCGAAAAGAUUCUGAAGAGAGAUUAAGUUUCCCCUGCCCUUCCCUUCUAAAGUGCAAAGAGUCUGUGCAAAAGAGGAGUCUCAUGCAAAAGCUAUUUGGGUUAUUUUCUGAACUUUGUCUUUGAUCUUUAUUGGAAACUCAGUGCAAAAUAUUUUGGCUUGUCAACUUUUGAUCUAAACUGCAAGCAACACAUAAGGAGCACAGUAAGAUUUCCUUUAAUACAAGAUGGUUGCAUUAUUUAGAUGUGUUUGCUCAAAUCUAGAUCAAUGCCUAUGUGUUAGCUCUCAUGCCAUAGUUACACUUUUAUACACAGAGCUUUCAGAGCCUUCCACUGCCUUCAGCAGAGACUCACAGAGGUACCAAGUUAAACUUGUACAGAAUUGUUACACUACGCCUUAGUUACACCUCAGUGUUAACAAAUGUAAUUCUCCGUAAUUUACAAUAUGGUUGCAUAUUUCUGUACAGAAGUACACUGUAAUGAGUACACAAAAGUAAAUUUAAAAAUUCAUCUGUAUUCUUCCUGAGUUUAGUAUGCAUAUUUCAGUCUGAACUGGCAGCCUGGACAAAAAAGUUUUUUGUUUUUUUUUUUUUUUUUUUUUGCCUUGGCAUAAAUAUAACUUUAUUAUUUACUUUCCUGUCUUGGUGAAGCCAAAAGAUUAUUUCAGUUCAACUUCCCCUUGAGGCCAAGCUUUCUUUAACCAGCAACACUGGAUCAGUGAACAGAAUCGCAGAUGUAUCAUUUAUUUGUAUGUUUCCAUGUAACUCUGGGAAAAGCGGCUACGUUGGAAUUAUGUUUGUCAAAAAUUAAGGAAAGAAGAAAGGGAAGAAAAAGAACGGCAACCUUGGCCAGCAGGAAGAGUGUGACCAGCAGGCCAAGGGAGGUAAUCCUCCCCCUAUACUUGGCUCUCCUGAGGCCACAUCUGGAGUGCUGCAUCCAUUUUUGGGCUACUCAGUACAUGAAAGAAAAUAAAAUAAUGGAGAGGCUUCAUCAAAGAUCAGAAAGAUGAUUUAGGAUCUGGAGCAUCCCACUUAUGAGGAGAGACUGUGGGAGCUGGGUGUGUUCAGUCUGGAGAAGAAAAGACUAAGAGGGGAUUUUAUUAAUGAAUAAACAUAUCUCAGAGGUGGAUGCCCUUUGGUGUCAGGCUCUUUUCAGUGGUACUGAGAGCCAGGACAAGGAGCAGUGUUCAUAAGCUAAAACACAAGCAGUUCCACCUCAAUGUGAGCAGGAGCUUCUUUCAGUUGACAGUGGCAGUUCACUGGAACACCUACCCAGGGCAGUCACGGAGUCUCGCUCUCUGGAGAUAUUUAAAACCCACGUGGACAUGUUCCUGUGUAACCUCAUCUGGAGGGUUGGACUGGAAUCAACAGAGUUCCCUUCCAGCCCUAAUGAUUCUGUGAAUCUCUGCUGUAGAUGUCAGCUCAACUUUUAAAGAUAUUUUUCUUUAAUCUACUGAUGUUCUUUACUCCAAAGUGGUUUGAAAAGUCAGGCACUUCCAACUGAACACCUUUUGCUUUCCAAUUCAAUGGUCACAAAGAAGACCAUAGUUAGGAUUUUGCUACCUCCACAGCUGUGUCAAUACAAUUGUUCAAGUUGCUGUAAGCUGAAGGGACAUGAUACAAAAAAAUUUCUUUAUCUUUUGACAUUGUUUUAACCUGCUUCAUUUCACUAAUGUAAGUGUAUUAUAUGAUCCCAAAUAAGGAGAGACUGUGUAACAGAGUUAGUUGUGGGGGAGGGUGGGAGAAGAAAAAGGCAAAAAUGACUGCUUGGGGCAGCUAAUCUUUAAACCAUAUGUAUAUAGCGGACUGUCUCCCACUAUAUACACUGCCCCAUACUGGGGCAGUAUGUGGAAGAACACCUUUGGACAGCUGCAUUAAUACCAUUAAAGCAGUUUGAAAAACUCCUUCCUAAGUCAGAAUAGUGUUGCUCUCUAAUAUACAACGCAUGCAAAUAUGUGGACCACAGACCAAUAGAAAGCCAACAUUAGCAGGGUUUUUCACUGAAACUUUGCUUCCUGCCUUCUUUUCCUCUCGCUCACAUGGCUUUUGCCUCCUAGUUUUUACUGAACAGGUUAUAUUUCUGUAAAAAGCAGCCUAUGCAGCAGUGAGGGAAGAUGCUGGAAAAUUCUUUUAACUUUAGCACAUUAGUGUGUGAUCCCUGUAUUCAUGGUUAAUGCUUAGUUUUGUACCAUACAGAGCUUAGUGCAAAUACCAGAGAUUAAUGUGGCUUUGUGUUAACUCCCUACAUCUGCGACUAAUAAGUCUUGUGCCAGCUAAUGCUUCCUUGUUUACUUCUAUCAGUGAUUAAUAUGUACUAGCUGAUAUCUUGGUUUUGAGAACAAGGAUUGUGUGUCAGAGCUAAGAAUGAUAAGAGAAGUACAUCAUGACCUGACAGUCUCAAGGAGAAAAGUUUCAUCACAAAAUCCGCAACCGUAUCCAAACAACUGAAUUGAAAUAAUUACUAUAUUUACAUGUAUUCAGGAAAUUUGAUGAAUGUAUAUCAGUUUUGGGAAUAGAAUCUGGUCUGUUAGGUUACUGAGCAUGCAUGUUUUAAGGACAAUUCCCCAUGCACCCAGUUACUAAUAAAGUAAUGUUGUUUUUCUUAACUAACAAGUAUGUUGGAGAGUUUAUUUCCCAGUUUUCGAUGACAUGGGGACAGACUUGGCACAUGAGAAGAAAUAACAUAUUUAUUAAUAAUCUUUGUACAUACUUUUACUGAAAGUUUCAAACUACCUGGUUUUGUGCUGCUUCUGGGGUAACAUUCUGAGUACAUGAACCUCACUGGGGGCAAGGCAAAGAGUCAGCAGUCCUGCUUCACAAUGCUGGGCCACUCCCCAGUGUCAGAGUUCUGGGGUGAAGUGACAUCUUGCCAUGGCAGUGAUCCACUUACAGCAUUACUUUGGAAAUUACCUGAUUUUCAGAAUAAACUUGAUAUUCCUGAAUGCUGGCAGGAGCUUCUGCUCGCAAUUGCUGCAGCACACUAUGAGAACUAACAUUUUUGGUAGGGUAAGUCUGUGUUAUCUUUGUGUCUGCAGACAGAGCUAGACUUCCUCAAAAACGUGCUGCUGCAUUUCCAUCACUUUCUCAAUUGAAGGCAGUUUUAGUAUUUAUGACAGAAGUUUGGUCAUAAGCAAAUUAACAGCAUUUCCUUGUGUCUACAUGCAGUGUCACGCUUAUGGAAACAAUCUGGCUUUCCAGAUGCUGUUUGGGGAAUACUGACAUGCAGGAUUCCCUGGAAGAUCUUCAUCUCAGUGCUGGGGCUCUUUUAAAUUCUUGCUAUUCAGUAUUUAUAAUAUUAUAAACAUUUCUUAUUAUUAAUCUAUUUAUACUUGCCUGAACAGGGAGCACAGAAAUCUGUUUCUACUAUUUAUAUUUUUCUAUACUAGAGGCAGGCAGGAUUGACAAACUCAAGAAAGAAGGCAAAGGACACUGGCAGUGCCUUGCCUGGACUAUGCCUUGUGAGGGGCACACUUCUGUCACGAAGGAAACCCCAGUGCAUUCCAAGGCAUCACAAUCAAGUAUGUGUUAGGAUCCUGGUUUUCUGCUGGAGUAUAUGUACUGUUAUAAAUCACAGUCCUUCCUCAGGACAGGUGAAGCUGAUGCAAAGCAGUAGCUGUCAAAAAAAAAAAAAAAAAAAAAUCUUUCCUGCAAAAAGCCCACAGUCUCUCCUUUUUGUGGCUUGAGGAGAGCUCAAAUCCCAAGCAAUUUUUAUUUCGAUACAAAGCUCAUACUCAGGCUGUCAUGGUCGACCAAGGGAUUCACCUGCACUGGCCCCCCUUCUAUGCCUGUCCCUGUGCUGAUCCCCAGUGCCCACUGCCGUGUCACGGGCUCCUCUCUGCCCUUUUGCUGCCGAGCUCACCCGCACGGGGGGCUCAGGUGAGGCGGCGUUUGAAUGGCGCUUUUUGCCCUGCAAGCUGUGUGGGUUCUGCUCUCAACAGCACUCCUGUGUUCUGUCUGCCUGGGUUCAGCAGCAGGAGCUCAGGGGGAAUUGAAAGCAGUGCCGCAGCAGAAAACAGACAGACCAAAUGGCGGCACCAGGCUUUUGCUAAACCUUCCACAGGGAAACCCUCUGGAAGGCAUCGAGUUCACUAUGGCAUGAAGAGCUGCCAAGAAUGCAGGCCCAGCCCCGUGAAACAGGGGCUGAGGGGGCUCACAGAGCGUGAGCUAACAGCACCACUGCCACACACACCCCACAGCUCUACCUCACUGAGGGCCACGACUGCUCACCAGCCGUUUAAUUUUAAGGAGUUAAACUUAAUGAGCUAAAUUGCAGGUGAUGUUAGUGUAGCUGUGAUGGCUGAGUUUGCGGUAACCAAAGCCUCCUCGUCUGAGACAAGGGACAUGGUGGGGCGGGGGGGGGGGGAACAUGGUGGCCAUCUCGGUAAGGCAAGCUAGACACUGACAGGCAAACAGACUCGCCGGCUGGGAAGUUGUUAGAAGCUGUGUAUGCAAGGAAAUCAGAAGAAAUUGGGGUGAGAGGGAGGAUGGAGGAGCAGAGCAGGGCUGGGAGCUGCACACGAGCAGUUUAUGUGGGGAGAGGACCUCUGGCAGCUGGGGAGGGUUCGUCCUGGCGAAGUUAAGCUCCCUCAGUCCCCCUCCUCCGUGCCCCUCAGGAAUAGCUGUGCCUGUGCCCUGCCUUCCCGCACCAUCCGCUCACCGAGCCCCGGCUCUGUGCCUCCCUGCCCGGGCUCAGACUGUCCCGGAGGAACGCGGGGCUGGAUGGAGCCCGUGCAGGCCUGAGAGCGCGGAGGCGGCGAUCGCAGAGCUGCGCCGGGGAGGGGAGAAGGGAGCGAGGCCGAUCUGCGGGAAGUGCACACUAGGACGUCAGAGGGGAAGGGAAACUUUCCCAGGGAAGAAGUUGCCUCAGCUUCCACCCUCUAUACCCUCAUGUGAACGGCUACGCAGGGGCUUAUCAGCUGGUCUGGCUUCCCCUUCAGCACCCCCCCAGCUGCCGAUACCAGGAGGAAGUGGGAAAGCAACAGGGACAACUUUAGCAAAACACUCCUGACUUCCCUUCCCCUUCAACAUGUCCCUCCCAGGAGUUGUGUAAACUCUGUGGGAGGGAGGGAGACAGGGAGACCCCACACUUUCAUACACAAACUUAAUAACCUCCUUUCUUGCCCUUUCCUAUAUUAAACACACAUCAGCUUUUCAAGUCUCACCUGCUAUUAAUGCAAAGGAGCAGAACAGAAACUCCUAUUUCCUAAAAAUCAUCCAAGCUGCAGGCAAGGUGCUGUUCUGAGUUGUCUGGCUUUCUGCACCACCUUAAUGGGGUGCAGAAAGCCCAAGAAGACUUGGAGCUGACAUCUGUGCUUCUUCAGGUAUCACCUAGCUCAGGUAUCUUAGGCUUUCUUUGGGAAGUAGGUAAUAAAGGGCCUUAAAUGAUAUCCUUUAAGGUAUCCUCCUUAAACCUCUGAGUGAGAGGUUUCAGAUGAGAGCAAUUAAUCUCUAUUAGUAUCUGAUGAUUUCUUAACAACAGCUCUUCAGUCUUGUCAUUUUAAAAAGUGGAAGAUCAGACCUACAUCUGUUGGCUAUUCCCCUAUUCAUAUUAGGGGGGUAAUGCUGCUUUUGCUUUUAUAAGAUAUUUGCUUAAAAAACAAACAAAAUCUCCUGGAUUUUCAUGGUCAAUCUCAAUUAGUCAAACAAACCCUAGCAAAGUCUAGAAAAAAGUGAGUCCUAAUGAAUGCAGAUUUACAUCUUUCUGUACUUUAUGUGCUCUCAAGAAGUUACCUGUCACAAGUGAGGCUAAACUUGAAGACAUCUGAAACAGAAAGUUAUAGCUCUAGGUAAAUUCACAGUUGCCAGGAUCAUUUCACCACUCUUCUUCUGUAUGCUUUCACAGUACUUCUGUGAUAAUUAGUCUUAUCUCUUAGAACUACAUCUAAAACUUGUAGAGUCUUCUUGGCUGGGCUGAAAUUAAAAAAUUUUAGUUACCAUGUAUGCGAUAUUGAAAUUAUUUUAUUAUUCUAAAGCAAGAGGGUGGAAAGGGAAAGCUUGAAAAAAGAAGACAAUGAUGUGGCCUAAAAAAAACCAAGAAAGAGAAUGCUUCCACAUCAUAAACAUUUCAAAACACAAAGUAACUUCAGAAAUAGUUUUAAUUGAAGACAAAAAAGUUUAAAAAUGCAAACAGUUUAACCCAAACAUCUUUAAAAAUAAUGUUUCUGGAAAAAUUUCCUAAGUCCUUCUGCUUAGUAUUUGCUUAAUGUCUGACAUCCUUUCUAUUUCCCUAUCCUUGAUGCUUUUAAAAAACUUUGGCUAUCUCAGAUGCCUUAUCUUUAGCAGGUGGUGGCAGGUUGAUUACAAAGCCGGUAAUCUGAUUUAAAAAGCCAGCUGAUUUCUGGCUUUAAAGUAACUGGUUAGCCUCUGAUAUAAAUCCAUAAACAAAAGAAAGGAAAAGUUAGUUUAAAUGAGAAUGCAUUCACCUGUGCCACUGGCAAUCACAGCAGAAAACCAGGAUACAUUUCCAUCUGCUAAGAGUCCUUUUGGUAAAGUCAGCUUAGACAGAGAGAGUACACAAACCCCAUAUUCUGAAGCCUUGCUGGUAUACUAAGAGUUUCUUUCAAAAAGAACAUUUCUUCUUUCCUGUCCUACUCUUCUGUCAUUUUCCAAGACUUUCCUCUCUGUGAAAUGAGAGUAGGUGGGCUGUGUGUCCCCGUCUCCACCACAGACCUGCCCUGCGGGUCAGAUGGUCCCACCUUUCGGCCAGGCACAGAAGGGACCCCUACGUGCCCUGCUCUCUCGGUACUAACAUCACGUGCCCGUUCUCAACGUGGCGCCUUUCCCGGUUGCUGGCACAACGGUGACCUCUAAUGGAGGAACCUCUCCUCUGACAAAUCUUAGCCAGCAUUUAGGUGGGGAGAGAGCAAGGGUGGAAAAUCUGCUGACCCUCUAAAUUGUAUCAGCAUUUGAUUUCCAUCACUGUUAAAAGAAAAAUAAAAGGAAAAAAAACCAAAGAAGCAAACCCUCAGAACCCCAACAUCAACUCAACCAAACCAACGAGAAAAGGAAACUAAUCGGGAUUUUGGAUUUUUUUGUUGUUGUUGUUUUUCUAGGUUUUUUUUUUUUUUUUGGUGGAUUUUUUUUUUGGUGUUGUUUCCACUGCCUUUUUUGCCUCUCACUCUGUUUGUGUACAUCUCUGAGAUGUAUGAGUAUGACACACUUCCACUAGACAUUUGAAAGCAGCAAUAAAGUCUGUGCUUUGCCUAUUUCUCUUAGCUUCUAGUCUGUCAUGUAUCCUAGCUCCCUGAUUACCUACAGGUGCUGCUGUUUUAUUUGCUCUGUGCCUGCCUGCUGCCUUGCCUAAGAGGCAGAGUGAUGCCUUGUGAAGGCUGACCUAGAAUAGAGACAAGACACAACCAAAUAAUAAAGUAGGUAUUUAUUAGAAGGCCUCAAUGGAUACACCUUGGGCAGUACAAGAGCCCAGCCUGGGCUACACCCAAGGUUAACCCAAAAAUGUCAAAAAAUGCAUGACCAGUCACGGGGUCUGACACUUUUAUAAGUUCAGGCUCAUUUGCAUAUUGGAGUUAAUUAUAGCUUUAGCUUAUGAAAUCACAUCCUUCUUGUUUUUCUGCUAAGAGAUGGAGAAGAUCAAUGGUUGUACAUAAAUUGAUGUUCUGAGAGCCUUUUUAGAAAAUAAGUGAGAGCCUGGAGACAUGAUUUCUGAAAGAUUUUCUUCUAAGACAUAAGAACACAGGUCUCCCUAUGACUCACAUUCAGAAUCAAAAUGCAGAUGCCUUCAGGGGUUUAGAGAAGAAUCGUGGUAGUAUAGAGGUUGUGGCACUUCUCUAUAACUUAGCUAAACAAGUGCCUAAUGGGAAGAAAAGCUAUUAGAGAUGUGUUAGCAGAAGUGAAAGGAAGCCUCAGCUGUAGCUGCAAAUACAAGAUGCAGAAGAUCCUCUGAUCCUCAUUUCAUUCUAUGAAAAUGUAAAUUCCCUAAAAUUAUUAAACAAUUUUGUUUAUAAAUAUGGAUUGAAUUUGGCAAAUUUCUUACAUGUCCCAUUUUUAAAGGUGUUAUAAAUAAUUUUCAUUACUUUUCAAUAUCUUCCAGUGAGGAUAUUGCAAGUUAGAGAGACCAUUGUUCACAAUUUCAGUGCUGGAACAUAUGUGUGGCUUUGUUCUUAUACAUUUCUGUGUAAUUUUUCCAUUCUUAAUUUUCUGUGUACUUCACCUUUUACAUAGAGGGUUGUGCCUGAGGGUGGGUGCUCUUUUUGUUAAUUUCAUAUUCUUCCUGCAAAGACUCCUGAACUCUGCUGAAGAACUAUUUUUAUUCUUUUUUUCCUUAACUAUGAAAAAAUUAAGAAUUGUUUGUAAGAAAAAAUAUCUAAAAAGAUGACUAUCUAAAAAGAUGACUUUCUGUUGAAAUGAACUCACAAAUCUCAGCAGGUUCUUAAUCCUAGAAUGCUGAUUCAGGUGUAGAUAAUUUAGUGAUAAACACUAAAACUGUUCCUGUCACAGAAAGAGUAAAAGUGCACCUUUAAAUAUUCUUGUGUUAUCUGCAUUAUGCUAUCCGGAGAUGUUAAAAAAGUCACAUGCUAUGUUCUGUAUCAGCUUCAUAUUUGUUUAUGCAUAUGAUUUAUCUUUGCCUAAUUUACAUACCGAACACAUUUUCCUAUAUUAGCUUUCCCUCCUCCUCCCUCCCCCCUUUCCCCACAAAUAUGAAAAACUUUAACAAAUAAAGAUUAUAUGAAGGGUAUUGUUCUGCAUUCUAAGCGUGUCUGCAAAUGUGUUUUUUGUCCAAGUUGCAAAGAACAGGGACGGGGAAGGUUUCAAUUCAUUCAGCAUCCCUUCAAUAGGCUGGAAUAUUACCUGAUUUUAGUGUAAAUGGUCUGGUGGAUGUAGCAGUAGGCCUGGCUUGCCAAUGGUUUUCCAUAGCAAUAUGGUGAGGCUCUGAAGCGGGACAGAGAAAAGCGGGCAGGACGCUAGAGAAAAUAAUAACUAGGGCGCGGGUGUUUGUGAGGCUCUGAGUGCAGCGCGUCCCCGGUGCCAGCAGAGGGCAAUAUGCACGCACCGAGCGGAGCUGUCCUGGGGCGCUGCUGGCAAUCCACCUGCUGCUUGUCUGGCUUUACCGUUACUGUGUUUUUCUUACUGCCUUAAACAGUGUGAAAAAAAUAUAUUUUUGGAUUUAAUUGGGGCAGAUGUUAGUUUACAGAAUUUUCGAAAGUAUCGUAAAUAGCAGGGGAAAAAAAAAUUAUCUCUCAGUGUUUGUCUACUUCUUAUGGUCCAGUUCAGCUUGACGGACAGAAACCCAUUCAUGUUUAAUGAAAACAGAAAUACCCUGAGCAAUUUAUUGUUAUUACCCCUGAGAGCUGUAUUUUGCACAAAUCUGUUUUCAAAAGUCUGCUGAGCUCCCAGUUAUGCAAGAUCUGCUGGUCUUCUGUGGCUGUCAGAAGUCCAGUGAUCUCAGUGACUUUUGCAAGCAGGUAGAAAUCCCUUCACACAAGGUCCUUAAGAGGUGGUUCCUUCUGAAUGUGGUUAGACAUUCAGCAUUUUAUAACUAACAUAUAAUUGUAGAUAAUAUACUGUAUUUCUGUACAAAAUCUGUCGCAUUUAUUUUUUUUUUAAACAAGGAGUAAAUCCAAAUAGAUCAAUCAAGUUCCUUGGCUGGCCUUAUUUCUACCAGAAGAUUUAUUACUGAAUUCUCAUAUCUUGAAAGUUUUUUCCUUCUUAGAGUAUAUCUGAGAAUUACCAGUAUCGCUGCAAAAAGACAGACAUAUUUAGAGGUAUUUCUCUAGGUCAGGAAUCAGUGCAGCCUCUCUUGGCUUGAAAUCAAAGGAAAAUGCAACUUUUUUCCUUUGGGUUAAUAAGCUCUCCUGUCUGAAGCUAUUAUUAUUGUAGUUCUGGUAUUUUUUCAUCUCAUAUUAUAUCCAAAUGUUUUGGUCUAAACUUUCCUCUGUGGUGAUGGUCAGAAAUGAAAUAGUGAAUUCUAUAUUUUGGUCUUCUUUUGGAUUUCAGGCUUCUGCAGGCUUAACUUUCUUGUCAUUUUUUGGUUAGUGUUACAUUGCCACUUGACUGCAGAAUUCCUCUGGAUACACAAACUAAUUUUUCAAUUUAGCCUUGAAAGAAGUUAUUUUCCUUAAUUUUGAAUGCCAGAAACAGUAAAUCAAAUAGAAACCAGUUGAGAUGAUUAAGGACCUAAAAAAAAUAAAAAAGUUUCCUCAUGCCCUCAAAAGAAUAAAUACAGAUUCAAGGAUCUGAAAACUUUAGAAAUAAAUUUAAAGUUUUACAGUCCUAUCCACAGCAGUUUUACUGCAAGUGCAUCCAUGAAAUAAAAAGUAAAUUAAUACUAUACUGUAACAUUAGUACUUACCAUAGUUUCAGUUUUUCUGAGUCCACGGUUCUGCUGAGGAGAAUGCAUGGUACUAGAGGGAGUAAAAGAUGUUCUUCCUCCUUUCCCGUGAAUGUUUCUUUAGAGAGUGCAUGUGGUUUUAUCCAGCCUUCAUGUGAAAAAAUAUCAGCAAUAGUCUUGUUUUGCACAGUAUCAGAGACUGAUACUGAUAGCAGAAUUGUAAACAGUAUUUGUUUGAGUUAUGUUGUACUGCUGUGAAAGAUUUUAUUCAUUCAUUUAAUUACUUCCAAGAUUUUCAUGAAAACCAGGUCUAUGAUAAAAUUAUAUAGUUAUUCUUUUCAGUAAACUUUGACUGAAUUUAAAAGGCAAAUGUAUUUUGGUUUUGUUUUUCAUACUCAGGGUUCCUGAAUUUACGUAUAUUUAGGCUUCACUGUAAAUGCCUGUUUCCUCCUGACCCAGACUUUCAUGGAUGUUCAAUAUCUGAAGGAAUUUUCUAUCUCUAAUAAGCUGAACUAUAUCAAUUAGCCUUUAAUUAUUGACCUCUUCAGAGAUGAUACUAUCAGAAAAAUAGGAUUCUCCUGGUCUGACAGGGCAUUAAAGUUCUAUAAUGCUGCAGACUUCCUGUGCACAAAAAUUCAAGGAAGAAGGGCAUAUAGCCAUAAAUUUCAGUGUACUAAAUCUAGGAAAAAAUCAAAAACUAAAACAAAGAGCUUAAUGAAAAUGGGUGAAAGAAGGAAGGAGGGGAGUGAAGUCCUGACUAGUACAGGAAAGAGAGUAGUGUUAUAUGUUGGUGAUGCCUAACUUCUAAAUAAAAGUCAGUUGAGUUUUCAGUAAGCAAUCUUCUCAGUAUGAAUUAAUGGAGAUAAAUAAAUGUGAUAGUAAAAUAACAGAAAGUACUGUAUCUGUGUCAGAAGCAAGGUUUAAACUGCAUUCUGAGGGGAAAUCAGGAUUUCCCUAAAAUCCCAGUGCUACAGCACUGAAAAGAUUACUGUAUUGCUGUAAUUCCCAAACCAUUUGCUUUCUAUUAAACUUUCAAUGGAAUAUAUCAAUGCAAUCUAUUUUCAUAGCUAAUAGCAAAUGCAACUACAGAUACUUAAAAGGGCAAUUAGCAAAGACACUACCUAUUUUCCUAAAACCAGGAAAUCACCAGGGCAGCUACAUACUUAUUUUCUUGAGCUUUGAAAAAACUAUUUGAAUGAGAAAACAUCAGAUACAUGUAGCUACAUCUAAUGUAGAUUUCACUAAUGGAGGAUUAUGUUUGAAGAAAUUAAUACCUGUUUUGCAAAGUUUAGCUGGCAUUUAAGGCAAAGGUAAUACAUUUUACUAUAUUUGUCAAGAUUUCAGCAGAGUAUUUCAGGUGAUCCUUUGCUGAAUUUUAAGUGACAGGUAUUUGGAGAAGAUGUGACCUAUCAGAAAGAGCGUAAGAUAAACUAGGAGAAAGGGAUUUAGUGAGUUUCACUGAGAUUACUCACAGUGUUCUGCAGGCAUCAGUUAUGGGACUGAUCCUGUCUGAUCCAUUACUUGGGUCUGGUUCAAGAGAAGGUUCUUGAAUCAGGAAUCUUGUUCAAGAGCUGGGCCUAUACUGAUGAAGGUGUUCUAAACUAAGUGGUUCUCAUCCUGAGGGGAAUCAAGUGGUUAUACAGGAAAGAGAAGAAGAGAUUGUGUAUUGUAUCAACCAAAUUUUAAUUACAAAGUAAUAUACUUAAGGCUAGAAAAAGCUUUUUUUUUUUUUUUUUUGCUUUGUGCCAGGGACACAAUGAGUCACUAAAAGGACAUGCACAUGUCAAAAGUACCUGCAGUUUGAGUGCAGAUUAAGCAAAUGAUUUUUGGGAGAGGCAGGAAAAGAAUUUUUGCAGAGGACUGAUGAGAGCUUGUUUAGAGUCUUGUGUGCCGCUCUGGUCAAUUAUGUUGAGUGGCCAAGUGGAGACUUACAGUGUGAGUAGGAGUUCCUGGCUUCUGAAAAGACCCUGAAACAGCUUACCUUGGGUAACUUAAGAAAGUGGAGAUGAAAAGUUAUGACAUGGUCUGUAAGUAUCAAGGAAGAAGAAGUAUUUAUACCAAAAAAUA